UGGCGAACGGGUGAGUAACACGUGGGCAACCUGCCCAAAAGAGGGGGAUAACACUUGGAAACAGGUGCUAAUACCGCAUAACCAUAGUUACCGCAUGGUAACUAUGUAAAAGGUGGCUAUACUACCGCUUUUGGAUGGGCCCGCGGCGCAUUAGCUAGUUGGUAGGGUAAAGGCUUACCAAGGCAAUGAUGCGUAGCCGAAUUGAGAGGUUGAUCGGCCNCAUUGGGACUGAGACACGGCCCAAACUCCUACGGGAGGCAGCAG
RNAcentral lists this ribosomal RNA (264 nucleotides) under uncultured bacterium. RNAcentral describes it as "partial 16S ribosomal RNA". It matches the Rfam family "Bacterial small subunit ribosomal RNA", at positions 96 to 354 of the family's 1533-position model. The record is from RNAcentral.